RNAcentral lists this ribosomal RNA (705 nucleotides) under Triticum aestivum (bread wheat). RNAcentral describes it as "partial small subunit ribosomal RNA". The record is from RNAcentral. Lineage: Eukaryota; Viridiplantae; Streptophyta; Magnoliopsida; Poales; Poaceae.
AUGCGGCCUGCGGCGCCCAAGACCUACGCCUACAGCCAACAAGAACCUCGUCCGGAGAACCUUCUUCUUCUCCUCGCUUCUCCCCGUGCGGCCAAACUCUCCCUUGGCUGCUCCCUCUUGGACCACCUCCUCUCCGGUGGCCUCCCCGCCACAUCGAUCACAGAGAUUGCUGGUGAAUCCGCCGCCAGGAAGACCCAGCUUUGCCGCCAGCUCGUCCUCCUUGUGCCCCUCUCCCCACCUUCCUCCUCCCUCUUCCUAUGCUCUGACCUCCCCUUUACCCUCUGUCGGCUCCGCCUCCUUGCCCCCAAAUCGCGGUCAGACCCCCUGGAUCACCUCCUUGUGGCCGAUGUACACUCCCCCUCCGACUUCCUCUCCCUCCUAUCUCACGCCCAGUACCACCUCUCCCACCCGAGUCGCUCUCCUACCCUGCCUAUCCGUGUCAUCCUCCUUGACUCCAUCGCUUUUGUUGAGUAUCCCGACUUCGACGCCUCACCCGCCGACCUCAAACGCCGGUCUAGGCUCUUCUUCAAGAUAUCCGCAAAACUCAAGGAACUGGCUCACAGGUACCAAUGCGUGGUUGUGGUUACCAAUCAGGUGGUUGACAUGGAGGGGAACACGGGAAACACCAUGGCCUAGUCAUCGCGGCGGCAGGUGAGCCAUGCGCUGGGGCUUGCGUGGGAUCUCCGGCUCAGAGAUCCGCAUUGA